RNAcentral lists this non-coding RNA (31 nucleotides) under Mus musculus (house mouse). Lineage: Eukaryota; Metazoa; Chordata; Mammalia; Rodentia; Muridae. The record is from RNAcentral.
UCAGAAUUAUGCUUUUCAGCCUGUACCAUGG